This 253-nucleotide ribosomal RNA is filed under the name uncultured bacterium. Its description in RNAcentral is "partial 16S ribosomal RNA". It matches the Rfam family "Bacterial small subunit ribosomal RNA", at positions 524 to 776 of the family's 1533-position model. The record is from RNAcentral.
UACAGAGGGUGCAAGCGUUAAUCGGAAUUACUGGGCGUAAAGCGCAUGUUGGUGGUUUGGCAAGUUGGAUGUGAAAGCCCUGGGCUUAACCUGGGAACUGCAUUCAAAACUAUCAAGCUAGAGUAGAGUAGAGGGAAGUGGAAUUUCCGGUGUAGCGGUGAAAUGCGUAGAUAUCGGAAGGAACACCAGUGGCGAAGGCGGCUUCCUGGACUCAUACUGACACUGAGGUGCGAAAGCGUGGGGAGCAAACAGG